UGAGUCGGCCAGACAAUCGCUGUGAUGGCUUCACCGCCAUCAGGGAGGAAAGUCCGGGCUCCACAGAGCAGGGUGCCAGGUAACGCCUGGGAGGCGCGAGCCUACGGAAAGUGCAACAGAAAGCAUACCGCCUGCCCCUUCUCUUUUGAGGCGGGGCCGGUAAGGGUGAAAUGGUGCGGUAAGAGCGCACCGCAUGGGUGGUAACACUCCAUGGCAUGGCAAACCCCACCCGGAGCAAGGCCAAAUAGGAAUCCACUGGUGUGGCUCGCACUGGAUUCGGGUAGGCUGCUUGAGCGGCGCGGUGACGCGUACGCCAGAUGAAUGAUUGUCCUAGACAGAACCCGGCUUAUCGGCUGACUCACCUA
RNAcentral lists this RNase P RNA (365 nucleotides) under Pseudomonadales bacterium. RNAcentral's name for it is "RNase P RNA component class A". It matches the Rfam family "Bacterial RNase P class A". From Rfam's summary of the family: Ribonuclease P (RNase P) is a ubiquitous endoribonuclease, found in archaea, bacteria and eukarya as well as chloroplasts and mitochondria. Its best characterised activity is the generation of mature 5'-ends of tRNAs by cleaving the 5'-leader elements of precursor-tRNAs. The record is from RNAcentral. Lineage: Bacteria; Pseudomonadati; Pseudomonadota; Gammaproteobacteria; Pseudomonadales.